Molecule: long non-coding RNA, 1078 nt
Organism: Bactrocera oleae (olive fruit fly)
Lineage: Eukaryota; Metazoa; Arthropoda; Insecta; Diptera; Tephritidae
Source: RefSeq, a predicted model, not a curated record
AUUAAAUGGCUUUUGAAUAAUGUUUGUUGCAGAUUCAUAAGUCGAAACACGGUUCCACGGUCCCAUAAUAUUAUUUUUGCUGUUUCCAAAUUAUAGCUUACCUCGUCCAGCUUCGGGAUUUUUCUUCAGAGAUUCAACAAAUUUUCAUCUCUUUAUGUCUUUGUACAAAAUAAUGAUUAAAAUAAUUUAAAAUUUUAUGUAAAAUACUACACUAGCACAGAGUUGAAAACCGUAACACUACAACAGUUUAGCAACACUUCAACUAAACUUUUUUUUGACGGUUUGAGGUGAUAUCUAAUUUCAAAACUUCAACUAAAAUGCAUUUGAGUUGAAAAUCGAAAUAGGGGGCUUCAAUUAUAAUGUCAACAGCUUUCCGUAAUGCAUUAUUCUAGAACACUGGAAAAUAAGAUCACGUGUGGUCGCUUGUAUAACAAUUCUAUUCUUUAUUUCUAUUUCUAUGCAUAUUAUGCUAUUACAUUUACUUUUUUCCUUAGAUCACAUCAUGCCCAGAAAGAAAAAUACUGAUGUGUAGAAGAACUUUUUUCGUUCGGCAACCAGUAAAACAGUAAAAUGCAAACACUGUGAAAAAGUUUACCAAUGUGGCAAUGUCAGCAAGAUGACCAGCCAUUUGUUAAAUUGUUAUAGACUAACUAGACAAACUACGGAAAAUAGCUGUUACUAGCACAACUGCCGGAAAUGUGUCCUUACAAGAUGAAUCAAAUCAUGAAAUAUCACAGGAUUACACUUCUGACGGAUACAACUUCUAUUAUUAUGACUACAUCAGAAGUUUUAGCAGGAAAAACACUUUAUCUAGACGAGCUCUUACCGAAGAAAAGCUAUCUACACAACACAUUUGGAAACUAUUUAUAUAUGGUCAGUGAAAUUACAGACGAACUGAAGUCUAUAAAUGAUUUACAUUUGCCGUGUGAUGGCUGGAGCAAUCAGCGCAAUGAAUGUAUCAUCAACUUAUUAUUAUUGCAAAACCCGAUCCUGUUUUUGUUAAAAGCCUUAAUACUCUGACAAACCGACAUACAAACAAAUAUGUAUUUCAAUAAAUAAUCAAAGUUAUAAACGUGUA